This 655-nucleotide ribosomal RNA is filed under the name Actinomycetales bacterium ZD10. RNAcentral's name for it is "bacterial SSU rRNA". It matches the Rfam family "Bacterial small subunit ribosomal RNA", at positions 98 to 753 of the family's 1533-position model. The record is from RNAcentral. Lineage: Bacteria; Bacillati; Actinomycetota; Actinomycetes; Actinomycetales.
GCGAACGGGUGAGUAACACGUGGGCAACCUGCCCUGCACUCUGGGAUAACUUCGGGAAACCGGAGCUAAUACCGGAUAAUAUCCUCCUCCGCAUGGUGGGGGGUUGAAAGUUCCGGCGGUGCAGGAUGGGCCCGCGGCCUAUCAGCUUGUUGGUGGGGUAGUGGCCUACCAAGGCGACGACGGGUAGCCGGCCUGAGAGGGCGACCGGCCACACUGGGACUGAGACACGGCCCAGACUCCUACGGGAGGCAGCAGUGGGGAAUAUUGCGCAAUGGGCGAAAGCCUGACGCAGCGACGCCGCGUGAGGGAUGACGGCCUUCGGGUUGUAAACCUCUUUCAGCAGGGAAGAAGCGGUCCGGUUCUCCGGGGCGUGACGGUACCUGCAGAAGAAGCACCGGCUAACUACGUGCCAGCAGCCGCGGUAAUACGUAGGGUGCGAGCGUUGUCCGGAAUUAUUGGGCGUAAAGAGCUCGUAGGCGGCCUGUCGCGUCGGAUGUGAAAACUCGGGGCUUAACCCCGAGCCUGCAUUCGAUACGGGCAGGCUAGAGUUCGGCAGGGGAGACUGGAAUUCCUGGUGUAGCGGUGAAAUGCGCAGAUAUCAGGAGGAACACCGGUGGCGAAGGCGGGUCUCUGGGCCGAUACUGACGCUGAGGAG